This 305-nucleotide ribosomal RNA is filed under the name uncultured bacterium. RNAcentral's name for it is "bacterial SSU rRNA". It matches the Rfam family "Bacterial small subunit ribosomal RNA", at positions 334 to 637 of the family's 1533-position model. The record is from RNAcentral.
AUCGCCUACGGGACGCAGCAGUGAGGAAUAUUGGUCAAUGGCCGAGAGGCUGAACCAGCCAAGUCGCGUGAGGGAAGACGGCCCUACGGGUUGUAAACCUCUUUUGUCGGGGAGCAAAGCGAGUCACGUGUGACUCAUUGAGAGUACCCGAAGAAAAAGCAUCGGCUAACUCCGUGCCAGCAGCCGCGGUAAUACGGAGGAUGCGAGCGUUAUCCGGAUUUAUUGGGUUUAAAGGGUGCGUAGGCGGACGCUUAAGUCAGCGGUAAAAUUGCGGGGCUCAACCUCGUCGAGCCGUUGAAACUGGG